This is a non-coding RNA of Pocillopora verrucosa, 672 nucleotides long. NCBI's taxonomy places the organism in Eukaryota, Metazoa, Cnidaria, Anthozoa, Scleractinia, Pocilloporidae. The record is from RefSeq and is a predicted model, not a curated record.
UAAUUCGAAUUCACGGAACCAAAUGAAAGGAGCUGUCAGACGAGGGAGAUUAAACCACGUGCAGUUGCCCUGCUAGAUUGCUUUGAAAAUGGCAAAUAGAUCCGCGGAGAACACUUCUCAGGGCAAAGGGUCAAAUCUGGACUUCAAAACUGCAAUGGAUAUCCUGGUUUGCUGAUGUGAGUACAGAAUUGAUUAAUGGAGCAAGGUCAAGGCUUAUAUUGAAGACCAUUUGAUUUUUUAAGUGAUUUUGGCAACAGAUUCACCAUUGCUGUUAUGUUUGGAGCCACUUCCAGCACAUGCCUGAGUAUGUUUUUACAACUAAAAAAUGGAAUUUUUCAGAUGCCUGCAUGACCCAGCUGGAUGGGUGCAGGUUUUUCAGAAUAAUUAUUGUCACUGUUCUUGUAUACAGGAUCCUGUUCUACCCAUUUUUUGCCUGCCUGACAACUGACAACAGACUGGUUGGGUCCUUGCUGGGUUUUCUUUAUGUUACAAUCAGCUCUACUCCUCACCUUGUCAUUGCUGAUCUUUUAGGCUAGCCCCGUUGUGUUUUGCCUGAUUUGGCAGUGUCAUUUUGGUCGGUAGUUUGACCUCCGUUUGUUUUGCACCUUUUUCCUGAUUUGGCAUCGUCGUUUUGACCGUACAUGUUCUGGGCUAAAUUGUUUUUGCGCCGCG